GGGCAAAUGAUGAUAUUUCAGAAUUUGUGCUAAUUUAAACCAUGAAGCUAUACAAUUCGAGCUUUUUAAAACUGAUGCCCU
Molecule: small nucleolar RNA, 81 nt
Filed under: Erythranthe guttata (spotted monkey flower)
Lineage: Eukaryota; Viridiplantae; Streptophyta; Magnoliopsida; Lamiales; Phrymaceae
Source: RNAcentral